AGAGAGCAUACAGGAGCCAGCCAUCUCAUAGCCUGAGAGCUAAUCAGGACUUGAAGGAGAAGAAGCUCCUUGAGGAGAAGGAAAAUGGAAAGGAGGCCACUAAUGGAAAGGAAAAUGAGGAGAACGGAGAGCCUGAGAUUGAUGAGGAAGAGGAGGAUGAAGUAGACGAAGAAGACGAGGAGGAAGAUGGAGAGGGAGAUGAAGAUGAGGAGGAGGACGAGGAGGACGACCUGGGCGGAGGAACGAAACGAGGGGCUGAUGAGGAUGACGAGGACGAUGAGGACGAGGUCGACCCGAAGAAACAGAAGACGGACGACGAUGAUUAAAAGGAUUGUUGGAUGCUACUGAUCCGGUGUAGAGCUCAUCUUCAGCACAUUUGUUGGAGCCAGUGGCAUAAAGGACUCAAACAUCAAACAUGGUCAUUUUUUCCCCCCCAAGUUCCUGCGUCUCACCCACUAACCCCCAAUGCAAAAUUUUCUAGAGGGAAAAGUCCACCACCCAGAUCCCCAACACGACGACAAAGUUCACAAGACGAGGAUUUGUUUGUAUUUUUAUUUACAUUUUAUAUUUUUGUACAUAUUGUUAAGGGAUCAGUCACUUGAUCGUGAUCUCCUGUGACCAAAACGGUGCUUCUUUAUGAAAUUUUACUUGUUUGACCAUGUCUCGCAAACUUUGGAAACAGAAACAUUUAUAAAAAAUAAUAAAAAAAAUUCAGCCAUUUAACUCUGAGCAUUCCAGUCAGAUUUUAUGUAUGAACUUUAGUUGUACCAUAAACUAGUUUUGUUUCGUUUUUGUUUUGUUUGUAUGGGAGGGCUAGGCCAAAGAAAAGGAGUUACUUUUCUUAUUGUUUUUCGUUUGCAUUUGUUUUACCUUGGCCUGUCUGUGUGUGUGAAGUUUGUUCAACAAUAAACCUGACUUUUAUUUUGUGAGUUGUACUUGACCUCUCUGUUUCCUUUGGUACAUCUCUGCUACCAGAAGCUUGAGUUCAAUUCACAGGACUGCUCGAGCAUCGCUUAAGAUCUUCACUAAAGCUAGUUUAGAAAGCCUGCAAUGUUGAUCUUAAUGUCAUCUGCUGUGCCUUAAAUUAUUAGUACUCAAUACAAGCAUGUAUGGGGAUGCUUAUUAUUGGGUUAAAAUAUGGAUAUAAUGUCUCUGGGUCAUGACCUCUACUGUAAAAUGUAAAAAGUUAAGGAAAAAAGGAUAUGGUGUACGGAGAUCUUUUGUGAGGAGUUUUGUGUUGGAAAUUAGAGCAUCGCACACAUGUUUGUGUUUGGGGAUGUAUUAAAUAUUUGAAUUUUGUUAAAGAUCAGUGCCCAAUAAAAUAAAGUACAUCAUAGCAGUUUUAAGAACAAGGAUGGCCUGUCGUUGACAAGUCCGAGAAUGACAUGGAAGACAGCAUGAUGAAGAAUUUAUUCUCUAGUCAAGGAAACUGUU
Molecule: long non-coding RNA, 1434 nt
Organism: Ictalurus punctatus (channel catfish)
Lineage: Eukaryota; Metazoa; Chordata; Actinopteri; Siluriformes; Ictaluridae
Source: Ensembl